This 504-nucleotide ribosomal RNA is filed under the name uncultured Lachnospiraceae bacterium. Its description in RNAcentral is "partial 16S ribosomal RNA". The record is from RNAcentral. Lineage: Bacteria; Bacillati; Bacillota; Clostridia; Lachnospirales; Lachnospiraceae.
CACGUAGUUAGCCGGGGCUUCUUAGUCAGGUACCGUCAUUUUUUCUUCCCUGCUGAUAGAGCUUUACAUACCGAAACACUUCUUCACUCACGCGGCGUCGCUGGAUCAGGGUUUCCCCCAUUGUCCAAUAUUCCCCACUGCUGCCUCCCGUAGGAGUUUGGGCCGUGUCUCAGUCCCAAUGUGGCCGUCCACCCUCUCAGGCCGGCUACUGAUCGUCGCCUUGGUGGGCCGUUACCCCACCAACCAGCUAAUCAGACGCGGGUCCAUCAUAUACCACCGUAGUUUUUCACACUGUCUCAUGCAAAACUGUGCGCUUAUGCGGUAUUAGCACCUAUUUCUAAGUGUUAUCCCCCUGUAUAUGGCAGGUUACCCACGCGUUACUCACCCGUCCGCCACUAAGUCAUCAACAUUUCCACUCUUAGCAAGCUAAUUGCUUCAAAAAUGAUGACUCCGUUCGACUUGCAUGUGUUAAGCACGCCGCCAGCGUUCAUCCUGAGCCAGGAU